CUUGCUACUUUGCCGGCGAGCGGCGGACGGGUGAGUAAUGUCUGGGAAACUGCCUGAUGGAGGGGGAUAACUACUGGAAACGGUAGCUAAUACCGCAUGACCUCGAAAGAGCAAAGUGGGGGAUCUUCGGACCUCACGCCAUCGGAUGUGCCCAGAUGGGAUUAGCUAGUAGGUGAGGUAAUGGCUCACCUAGGCGACGAUCCCUAGCUGGUCUGAGAGGAUGACCAGCCACACUGGAACUGAGACACGGUCCAGACUCCUACGGGAGGCAGCAGUGGGGAAUAUUGCACAAUGGGCGCAAGCCUGAUGCAGCCAUGCCGCGUGUGUGAAGAAGGCCUUAGGGUUGUAAAGCACUUUCAGCGAGGAGGAAGGCAUCACACUUAAUACGUGUGGUGAUUGACGUUACUCGCAGAAGAAGCACCGGCUAACUCCGUGCCAGCAGCCGCGGUAAUACGGAGGGUGCAAGCGUUAAUCGGAAUUACUGGGCGUAAAGCGCACGCAGGCGGUUUGUUAAGUCAGAUGUGAAAUCCCCGAGCUUAACUUGGGAACUGCAUUUGAAACUGGC
This 565-nucleotide ribosomal RNA is filed under the name Rahnella sp. enrichment culture clone EST424_EN6. RNAcentral describes it as "bacterial SSU rRNA". It matches the Rfam family "Bacterial small subunit ribosomal RNA", at positions 73 to 637 of the family's 1533-position model. Lineage: Bacteria; Pseudomonadati; Pseudomonadota; Gammaproteobacteria; Enterobacterales; Yersiniaceae. The record is from RNAcentral.